GGGACCAUCCCGCAAGGCUAAAUACUCUCUAAUGACCGAUAGCGAACUAAGUAGGGCGACUGAAAGGUGAGAAGAACCCCGGCUAGGGGAGGACACUGAACCUGAAACCAUGUGCCUACAAGCGGUCGGAGCACGAUUUAACGUGUGACGGCGUGCCUUUAGCAAAAUGAUCCGGCGAGUUACCGUUUAUGGCAGGUUAAGCCUCUCAGGGGCGUAGCCACAGGGAAACCGAGUCUUAAUAGGGCGUUAGUCAUGGGCGGUAGACGCGAAACCUGGUGA
This 279-nucleotide ribosomal RNA is filed under the name Madagascaria erythrocladioides. RNAcentral describes it as "partial Bacterial large subunit ribosomal RNA". It matches the Rfam family "Bacterial large subunit ribosomal RNA", at positions 449 to 728 of the family's 2925-position model. The record is from RNAcentral. Lineage: Eukaryota; Rhodophyta; Compsopogonophyceae; Erythropeltidales; Erythrotrichiaceae.